UACACAUGCAAGUCGAACGGUAACAGGUCUUCGGAUGCUGACGAGUGGCGAACGGGUGAGUAAUACAUCGGAACGUGCCCGAUCGUGGGGGAUAACGGAGCGAAAGCUUUGCUAAUACCGCAUACGAUCUACGGAUGAAAGCAGGGGACCGCAAGGCCUUGCGCGGACGGAGCGGCCGAUGGCAGAUUAGGUAGUUGGUGGGAUAAAAGCUUACCAAGCCGACGAUCUGUAGCUGGUCUGAGAGGACGACCAGCCACACUGGGACUGAGACACGGCCCAGACUCCUACGGGAGGCAGCAGUGGGGAAUUUUGGACAAUGGGCGAAAGCCUGAUCCAGCCAUGCCGCGUGCAGGAUGAAGGCCUUCGGGUUGUAAACUGCUUUUGUACGGAACGAAAAGACUCCUUCUAAUAAAGGGGGUCCAUGACG
This 427-nucleotide ribosomal RNA is filed under the name uncultured bacterium. RNAcentral describes it as "bacterial SSU rRNA". It matches the Rfam family "Bacterial small subunit ribosomal RNA", at positions 50 to 474 of the family's 1533-position model. The record is from RNAcentral.